This 404-nucleotide ribosomal RNA is filed under the name uncultured bacterium. RNAcentral describes it as "bacterial SSU rRNA". It matches the Rfam family "Bacterial small subunit ribosomal RNA", at positions 355 to 776 of the family's 1533-position model. The record is from RNAcentral.
UGGGGAAUCUUGGACAAUGGGCGCAAGCCUGAUCCAGCCAUGCCGCGUGAGUGAAGAAGGCCUUAGGGUUGUAAAACUCUUUCGCCGGAGAAGAUAAUGACGGUAUCCGGAGAAGAAGCCCCGGCUAACUUCGUGCCAGCAGCCGCGGUAAUACGAAGGGGGCUAGCGUUGUUCGGAAUUACUGGGCGUAAAGCGUACGUAGGCGGAUUUGUAAGUAGGGGGUGAAAUCCCCAGGCUCAACCUGGGAACUGCCUUCUAGACUGCAAGUCUUGAGAUCAGGAGAGGCGAGUGGAAUUCCGAGUGUAGAGGUGAAAUUCGUAGAUAUUCGGAGGAACACCAGUGGCGAAGGCGACUCGCUGGACUGAUACUGACGCUGAGGUACGAAAGCGUGGGGAGCAAACAGG